UUUUCAGGAGCAGGGAGAAUAGGCCCAUUGUCUCCCUGACGGCGCGUUCCCCGGUGUGAUUAGAACAACUGAGAACCCAGAGCGCGCUCCCGACUCCAGCCACGAAUGCAGAGUGGCCCAGCCACACAGCGUCAAGGUCCCAAGGACGUGAAUUCAGAAAUGACGAAAUCACAGACGUCAACAACACCUUGCCUCCCUCCACGCCAGGCUUCCAUCCAGAUGGAGUGAAUCCUCCCUUAUCGACAGCACCUUCCUCUGUGACCUGACUCAAGCCCUGCAGUGCUCGGGGUCCCUCUGAGAGCCUCUGAACUACCCUGCCUGCUCCUGCUCGCCCCUGGGUCACCGACAACCAGGAGCGUUUGCACGGUUUUGCAGACUUCCCAAGACACUUCCACUCGUGAUUUUGUCCCGGCCUCGUGAAACUCUGAGAGCAACGUUUCUUGCAAGCAGCCCAUUUCCCAACAACGUUGAAUUGUCCAUGUGGCAGAGAGAUGCCAGCGGGAUAAAUGCACGGACACAGAGGACUGUCCAUGGGAAGGUAACACCGGGCAGCCUCUGCGCCUGCAGGGGCAAAAUAUGUUGGUCUGGAAAUGUGGGGAGUCUCUGAGUCCAAAAACCUCCGCCAGCAAAAGCCUCUCACUCGCUCACCCUGGACUCCCUUUGCAUAGUAAGGCGCUCUCCACAGGGCUGAGGGAGAGACGCUGGGGGUCCCUCUCCCCUUUCCUGCUGAUCCCAAAGCCUGGCAUCAUACUCGAGGAAAAUAUGAAUGUGCAAACUAAAACAAUCAACAGGUACCAGGAUCUCCUUUUGGAAAGUCCGUCUUACUAACAGAGACACGUGUUGAACAGCGGUGCCGCUGGACGGAGGUGGUGAGGGAAGGGUGGCGGGCGGUCGGGUCGGUUGGCGCACGGCACACAGUGAAGGGGCAGAAGGGAAUGGAAAUCCCUGAUGGGGCUGCCCUCGUGGGGGCUGCAGGGACCCCCGAGGAGCCCCCCAGGCUCUCCGGGACAUGGCGAGGAGACGCGAUCUUAUCUCCGUGGGCAGUGGUCGCAGCGGCGGAUGGGCAGGACCAGCCCUGGGAGGGCCUAGCCACACUGGGGCGGAAAGACGCACUGAGAACCGACGAUCUGGUGGAAGCUGGUGGACGUGGGGCCUCUCACGCGUCAAAGAGCACACGACCCCACCGGCUCCCACAGCCACAACCAGAUGCUGACCGCACAGGCCGGGCUGGCCGAGGCCUUGCCUUUCUGCCCAGCUCCCAGGGAGGCUGCAGCGGCCGCUGCUGCUGGCGCGGCGUAUGCACGGAGGAGCGGCCCCAAGACGUGGCGGCCCAGCCAGGUGUCGGGUCAUGCCCGCACCGUCUGAUGGUGGCCAGAGUGGACUGCGGGAGCUAAGGGCACAGGUGAGGCUUUCCUCCCGGGAAAGUCUCCAACCAGACAGCACGGGGGAUGCUGAGCUGAGACCUCUGGUCGUUCACUCCGCCGCAGCCAGCCUCCCCGAGCCGGAUGGUCUCUUUCUUACUGACCUUUCACGUGCCCUCAAGUGGUUCUGUGGCGGCAUCUGAGUGUGAAGGGCAUCUUUUUCCUUCCCAUUUUGCUCCUUCCCUCCUUCCUUUUUUUUUUUUUUUUUUUUUUUAAUGGGAGGGAGGUUUUUAUGCCGGUCUCUGAGUUCGGACAUUCAGUACAAGUUCUUAUUUUUUUAAGGUUUUACAUCCUCUCCCUCGAUGGAUAUGUGACAAUACAGUCUGAUUGUUCUAAUCACGGCACGUAUGGCAAAUAAUGACUAAUGAAACUUGGUGCAAUGUGGCAUAUGGGAGUUCGCCGAUUGCUUUUGCUCACACUUUCUCUUUUAAUCCUUGCGAUGCUCUGGGAGAAUCUAGCAUGUGUUCCAUUCCACAUUCCAGGGACAAAGUCCAAGCCAAACAUGGCAUUUUCUGAGAAUCUUGCCUUUCUCAUCCCAUGGACCAAAUAAGCAGGCUGACAUUUUAAAAUAUGUUUAUCCCCAAACCGGUUUACUGGCACCAUACAUGAGAAUGCUCUGUGCGGGGUUCCGGCAACGUGGAAGCUUCAGGAACAGGGAGGCGAGCCCAGGAGAAAGUGAUGCGCCCACGGCAGGGCUCCUCGCCCCUCCUGUGCCUUGUCCGACAAGGCUGAAUGCAGAGAGGGCAGGCGUCCUCUGUCCACUGGGGCUCUCAGAGCUGCCCCAGGCUGGACCUGCUGUCUGAAUUGAAAUCACUCCACAGAGCUCACUCGGACGCCCUACCACACACCCCCACAAAUGGGCCCACCAGAGCUACUUCUUGGCAAGUAUGCCAGUGUCCACGCCUGUAGCCCUGAUUCUGAGAAGAGUUCAUGUGCCGAUCUAUUAAAGUUCACUUGGAAAGGAAGGACCCAAUUUUGGAUGGACCCAAGGAUGUCCUAAAAGUUUCCAUUUAGAACAUGCAUUUUUGCAUUGUAACUGACACAUUUUUUACCUGAAACCCAAGAAACAUGAAGGGUAAGUAAAACCACGUUCACUGUCCCCAGGUAAUCGGAAGGUAACAAGAAUUCAGAAUCCACAUUGGGGAGGGUAUGUGCUUUGGUGAGUGCUGUGAAGUGUGUAAACCUGGCGAUUCACAGACCUGUACCCCUGGGGAUAAAAAUAUAUGUUUAUAAAAAAUAAAAAAUUAAAAAAAAAAGAAUUCAGAAUCCACGCAAUGAAAAGAUUUCCUUUAAAAUUUAAGACACAAGAUCAUUUUUAAAUUGCUUUACACUCGGUGUAUUUCAGUGACAUCAAGAAGUCUGACGUGAGUUCCAGGGGAGUCACUGACACCUCCAGUCAGACAAAAUGUCCUCCCCAAGCAGAUGGAUGGUCCUACCCCUGCCCUGUUGGGAGGAGCCCGAGCGGACCUGCGCGGGGUGUCCUGAGUCUGUCCAGGCGGAGCUGGAAAGACCAGGUGGAUGAACGGCCCUCGGAGGGCGUCCGUCAGGACUCCGUACGUCUUCGAUGACAAUGCACCGGAGAGUCCUAUCUGACUUGUAGACCUUUUCUUGUAAAUGCCACCUGCAGGCCAUUCUUGUCAACACAUGCCCAGAAUUAUAAACAUCUCUGGUAUUUUAGGAUUGUGUGAAGGUUCUGUGAAUAUUAAAAAAACAAAAACAAAACAAACAA
Molecule: long non-coding RNA, 3150 nt
Organism: Mustela lutreola (European mink)
Lineage: Eukaryota; Metazoa; Chordata; Mammalia; Carnivora; Mustelidae
Exons: 2
Source: RefSeq, a predicted model, not a curated record